Small nuclear RNA from Rhinolophus ferrumequinum (greater horseshoe bat), 189 nucleotides. Its record names the gene U2. It matches the Rfam family "U2 spliceosomal RNA". Rfam says of the family: U2 is a small nuclear RNA (snRNA) component of the spliceosome (involved in pre-mRNA splicing). Complementary binding between U2 snRNA (in an area lying towards the 5' end but 3' to hairpin I) and the branchpoint sequence (BPS) of the intron results the bulging out of an unpaired adenosine, on the BPS, which initiates a nucleophilic attack at the intronic 5' splice site, thus starting the first of two transesterification reactions that mediate splicing. The record is from Ensembl. NCBI's taxonomy places the organism in Eukaryota, Metazoa, Chordata, Mammalia, Chiroptera, Rhinolophidae.
AUCGCUUCUCGGCCUUUUGGCCAAGAUCAAGUGUAGUAUCUGUUCUUAUCAGUUUAAUAUUACAGACUUCAGUAAGUGGCUUACUUUACUUAUAAAAGCUUUUUAAAGUCAUAUUUUUUUGUAAUGUAUUUUUAUUGGGGAAUAUUGGGGAACAGUGUGUUUUUCCAGGAUCCAUCAGCUCCAUGUCAA